Melanotaenia boesemani (Boeseman's rainbowfish) is the source of this 98-nucleotide long non-coding RNA. RefSeq lists it as uncharacterized. The transcript has 2 exons. The record is from RefSeq and is a predicted model, not a curated record. Lineage: Eukaryota; Metazoa; Chordata; Actinopteri; Atheriniformes; Melanotaeniidae.
UGGUAACAAUCGGAAAAGAUAACACAGCAUGGAAGGGGAUAUAUAGGACGGGGGAAUGAUGGUGGUCUUGGGACCAUUGUUAACAGAAAAAGGCAGAA